CCUACGGGAGGCUGCAGUGGGGGAUAUUGCACAAUGGGGGAAACCCUGAUGCAGCGACGCCGCGUGAGUGAAGAAGUAUUUCGUUAUGUAAAGCUCUAUCAGCAGGGAAGAAAAUGACAGUACCUGACCAAGAAGCCCCGGCUAACUACGUGCCAGCAGCCGCGGUAAUACGUAGGGGGCAAGCGUUAUCCGGAUUUACUGGGGGUAAAGGGAGCGUAGACGGUAGCGGAAGUCUGAAGUGAAAUGCCGGGGCCUAACCCCGGAACUGCUUUGGAAACUGUGCAACUAGAGUGCAGGAGAGGUAAGUGGAAUUCCUAGUGUAGCGGUGAAAUGCGUAGAUAUUAGGAGGAACACCAGUGGCGAAGGCGGCUUACUGGACUGUAACUGACGUUGAGGCUCGAAAGCGUGGGGAGCAAACAGGAUUAGAUACCCUAGUAGUC
Molecule: ribosomal RNA, 440 nt
Filed under: uncultured bacterium
Lineage: Bacteria
Description: partial 16S ribosomal RNA
Rfam family: Bacterial small subunit ribosomal RNA
Source: RNAcentral